AUGCCGUCCGAUUAUGAUUCUUCUUCUUCUUCUCCGCUUGAUUCCGAUUCACCUGAAACAAAUGUUUCUGGGUAUGCCAAUUCUUUUACUCCUCUGCAUAUGCAUCAUCACUUACAUAUUUUACAUACAGCUUCUGUUAAUUGUUAUAUAUGAUUUUUAUUUAAGUUGGUUUUUGUUUAUCACUUAUUUCUGCUUGUACAGAUAAUCAUAAACAUAAUUUGAGACAGGGUUUGAUUUGUAGUUACCACUUACUUGAUCUUUCUGGCAAUCAGAAAUUGCUGCCUUGGGCUUAGAGUAUGAUAUGAUAUCCAACUUCAUCAGAGUGCUUAGUAGUGUACUGUGUUUUGCAAGUCGAAAAAAGAAAUUCUCGGAUUUAUGGCGAUUAGUUUUCAAAAUCCCUGCUGCUUUAUGAUCAUCUUUCAGUGUUUGGAAAAAAAAAAAAUUUGAUUCAAUUUACAUUAGAUCUCGACAUGAUAAAUUCUGAUUGUUAUUAUACAGUUUCUUGAAUUGUUAUGAUAGAUUUUUUGUCAUUGUGAA
Molecule: long non-coding RNA, 537 nt
Filed under: Daucus carota (carrot)
Lineage: Eukaryota; Viridiplantae; Streptophyta; Magnoliopsida; Apiales; Apiaceae
Description: long non-coding RNA (DCAR_LNC001796)
Source: RNAcentral